CGGUUGAACCGGGCCCGUGGGUUCAACCGGACCCAAACACUUAAAUGAGGCAGCAGCUCUUUUCUUCCUCAUAAGCUGCUGCGACGCCAUUACAGCAAGGGAGGGAGAGGAGAUUCACAAACCCUCACCAUUCCUUCCAACUACCAUAACUUCCUCAUCCGGGCUCCGAUCGCCGCACCGUUUGCGGCCACGCGUCGGGCUCGUCGAGCUCUUCAAUUCUAUCCAAACAAAACAGGGUCCACUAGACUUGAUUUCUUGUGGGUAUUGCCCAAGGAUCAGUGGGUAAAGGUAGUGUGUAUGUGAAUGUUGAUGCUUGUUGGAGGCUUGUUGGUGAUCAAGCUUGGUUUGGGGCUGUUUGUUUGAGUUUGGAGGGGCUGUAAUUUUGAGUUGUGAGGCUGCCUUGGGUGAACUAAGUGAUCGGCCAAGAUGCAGGUCGAGAGGCUCCUCGCUAAGCGUCUGGAUUCUGGAAAGCGAAGUAGUCCUUGGGUAUAUUUUGGUUUCUAUUUGUAUAUAUGUAUGUAUAUGUGUAGCUUACUCUCCAAGUAACUUAUGUAUGCUGCUCCUCUUAGAGGUUGAGGGAGAGAUAGGAGUUUACUUUGGUAUUUUGGUAUAUUUUGGGGACACUUAUGUAUGUUUAUAUGUAUAUAUGUAUCCUCCGGCCAGCCUUAGCUUCGCAGGCUGAGUCAGAGGCUAGUUAUGCUGUUCUUUGGCUUUUCUU
Non-coding RNA from Arachis ipaensis, 718 nucleotides. The record is from RefSeq and is a predicted model, not a curated record. Lineage: Eukaryota; Viridiplantae; Streptophyta; Magnoliopsida; Fabales; Fabaceae.